UUAGGCGCCGGACCGCUACUCCAUUCCCAUAGCGGACGGCAGCUGUCAAAAAGGAGGAAAAAUCCGCCGAGCCGGCGGUGCGGCAGUGUGGAGACCUGUCGUAAAGCCCCGGGAGUUUCGCUCUCCCGGCGGCGAGGGGACAGCAAGCGGAUGCUCUGUCCCUGCGGCUCUUCAUUUAUGGCU
The submitters of this non-coding RNA (183 nucleotides) gave its source as unclassified sequences. The record is from Rfam.